This 162-nucleotide ribosomal RNA is filed under the name uncultured bacterium. RNAcentral's name for it is "partial 16S rRNA". It matches the Rfam family "Bacterial small subunit ribosomal RNA", at positions 355 to 509 of the family's 1533-position model. The record is from RNAcentral.
UAGGGAAUCUUCCACAAUGGACGAAAGUCUGAUGGAGCAACGCCGCGUGAGUGAAGAAGGGUUUCGGCUCGUAAAGCUCUGUUGUUAAAGAAGAACGUGGGUAAGAGUAACUGUUUACCCAGUGACGGUAUUUAACCAGAAAGCCACGGCUAACUACGUGCC